GUCCACGCCGUAAACGAUGGAUGCUAGCCGUCGGCAAGCUUGCUUGUCGGUGGCGCAGCUAACGCAUUAAGCAUCCCGCCUGGGGAGUACGGCCGCAAGGUUAAAACUCAAAGGAAUUGACGGGGGCCCCGCACAAGCGGUGGAGCAUGUGGUUUAAUUCGACGCAACGCGAAGAACCUUACCAGCCCUUGACAUUGUCGGACGGUUUCCAGAGAUGGAUUCCUCCUAGCAAUAGGUCGACACACAGGUGCUGCAUGGCUGUCGU
Molecule: ribosomal RNA, 265 nt
Filed under: uncultured bacterium
Lineage: Bacteria
Description: partial 16S ribosomal RNA
Rfam family: Bacterial small subunit ribosomal RNA
Source: RNAcentral